RNAcentral lists this long non-coding RNA (2242 nucleotides) under Capra hircus (goat). Its description in RNAcentral is "lncRNA (ENSCHIG00010005308.1)". The record is from RNAcentral. Lineage: Eukaryota; Metazoa; Chordata; Mammalia; Artiodactyla; Bovidae.
GUUCAAAGGAUCUUGUUAUGUUUUUAAAAGGCUGAGCUUGGCAGAAAAAAUGUAGAGUGUAGGUUUGCUCCCUCCCCAUUUCCCCCCUUUACCAGGUUAGAAAUGGGUAACAGACUGGGAGAGAAGCACACAGUGGGUUCCAGUACCUGGAAGAUAGUUCAAGAGUAUGAAUUCCAAAUUAAGAGCAAGGGCCAAUUUAAGUGAUNNNNNNNNNNNNNAUCAAACUGGUGUUAAAUAUGUGACCCAGUUGCCCUCUCCCCACCCAUGGGUCCAACACACAGCCUCUCUCUGCAGGAGCCUUUGACUUUAUGCUGGAAUUGAGGACAAAAGCCACAGGCCAAGUGAGGUCACAGGAAUUCUAUACCCAGUGAUUCACCCACCUCACCCGUGAUGAUCAGUUCCAGCAAGAUUCCACAGAACUGCCAGGAACCCAUUGCUUUAAAGACCUGGGAUCACUCAAGAAUCCCAAGGGGUACAGAACAGACUCUUGACCCUCCAAUGAGGAGAUAUAUGUGGAAUGUUCCAGAAAACAUCUUGGGUGAAAGAAGGGAAAGCACUCAUACACAGAUGAUGACCAGAUGGACACAUCCUUCAAAGUCUUUCUAUCUUGGGGAUACUUUUCCUGGAUCUCAUUGAUUGUCACUUAAUUACGUAUUGUAAUAGCACUGUGACCUGCAGCAAGUCAUACUGGAGAGCAGUUUCCUCAUCUGCAAAGCUUCUUACAUCAUUUUUAAGAUCCACGUUAGUAUAAAUUAUUUUAAAACCAGAUAUAGGCAAUUUUCAAACCUCAUUUUAAACACCAGUUGNNNNNNNNNNNNNNNNNNNNNNNNNNNNNNNNNNNNNNNNNNNNNNNNNNNNNNNNNNNNNNNNNNNNNNNNNNNNNNNNNNNNNNNNNNNNNNNNNNNAACCUCUUCCAUUCAUUCCCCACCCCCUUAUUUAAAAAAGAGCUAUUAAAAAGUGAAAUAUUUUAUUGAUUGCUUUUGACCCCUUUUCUUAAAAAAAAAAUCUUUUCCACUUUCUGAAGGAAACAUAAUCAAUAUUGAAACAGUAGAAAGUUGGGUGACUGGGGUCACAAGAUAAGUUAACUAGUGAGCUUUGAAGCAUCAGUGCAUUAGGAACAAAGCCAGACAGAGACAUCCCAACCUUAGCGGGAUGCCUCGUAAUUCAGCGUUUCUCCAAAAUGAUUUUCUGUACAUAUCUGUUCAACACAGUGUGGAGGGGUGGGAAGAGAGGGAGAGGAAAACUAAUAACAGCCUUAGGCACCUCCUCUGUUCUCUGAACAAUUCUGCUCAGUCCCAAAUCUGCAUAACUCGCUCAGAUAAACAAAUGUAGGUAGCCAACCAGACCUUCCCUCUUUUGAAGACAUACCAUGCAACUAUUAUGAAACCGCAACUCCUUCAAAUAACAUUUCUUUUAAAUAUUCCAACUUCACAACACUUAUGAUAAAUCCAACUUUCUCUAUCUUGUUAUAUUUCCAGAAAGAUGUAGCACCCCAGCAAUGUUCUAGUGCCCUUAGGAAGCAAUGCUUCUAGAAAUCACACUCUGACCCACCUCCGAAGCCGGUUUUGAUUAGCAGGGAAGUUUUCAACAAAUGUCUUUCUACUCAUGGGUCAGAAAGCUCCAGAACUCUAUCUGUGACAGCAUCUUUCUCCCGGCAUGGCCUUGUGAUCCUCUUUGAAAGUCUGCUCACUCCCAGAACAACCUAGAAGACGCAUGAUUUCCUAAGCUGACCUCCACAUCCAAAGUCCAGAGCAAGGCGGGUGGUUUCCAUGGGCAAAAUGUUCUUUUCCCUCUUUUUCCUUCUCAAUUUCAUCUACCUAACCUUGCCAUCUUAAUGUGGACUUUAAGAACCCUUAAUAUCUGCAGUGCCUUGAGUCUUCAUAGAAAUAUUAAAUCAUGCAGUUACUUUAGAAAAAAGUAGUGUCUUACUGGAUUCUAAUUCUUUGAAAAUCAGUAACAAAAGGAUGAUCUAUUCAGGAAUCCUUUGUUAACCAAAAUGUUGAACUAACUACAACCUUACUUAGGCUAGACAGGAGUCUAAUAUGGCAAUAAUGUGCUUCAUUAUGGAGUGUCUUCACGUAGAAAGAUGGUCCUUGUCAUUAAGAUGUGCUUCCCAUUCACUCCUAAUAACACACAUGAGGUUUAACCACUGAGCAUCCGGCUAGACACACCAGUGGGAUGGCCGGCCAGGUCACAGCUGGCUGUGGUCACUAUCUGUGAAAUGGAUCAAAGAAGAGCAAAC